This 468-nucleotide ribosomal RNA is filed under the name uncultured bacterium. RNAcentral describes it as "partial 16S ribosomal RNA". It matches the Rfam family "Bacterial small subunit ribosomal RNA", at positions 28 to 507 of the family's 1533-position model. The record is from RNAcentral.
GACGAACGCUGGCGGCGUGCUUAACACAUGCAAGUCGAACGGAAAGGCCCUGCUUUUGUGGGGUGCUCGAGUGGCGAACGGGUGAGUAACACGUGAGUAACCUGCCCUUGACUUUGGGAUAACUUCAGGAAACUGGGGCUAAUACCGGAUAGGAGCUCCUGCUCCAUGGUGGGGGUUGGAAAGUUUCGGCGGUUGGGGAUGGACUCGCGGCUUAUCAGCUUGUUGGUGGGGUAGUGGCUUACCAAGGCUUUGACGGGUAGCCGGCCUGAGAGGGUGACCGGCGACAUUGGGACUGAGAUACGGCCCAGACUCCUACGGGAGGCAGCAGUGGGGAAUAUUGCACAAUGGGCGGAAGCCUGAUGCAGCAACGCCGCGUGCGGGAUGACGGCCUUCGGGUUGUAAACCGCUUUCGCCUGUGACGAAGCGUGAGUGACGGUAAUGGGUAAAGAAGCACCGGCUAACUACGUG